Molecule: transfer RNA, 103 nt
Filed under: Apis cerana cerana
Lineage: Eukaryota; Metazoa; Arthropoda; Insecta; Hymenoptera; Apidae
Rfam family: tRNA
About the family: Transfer RNA (tRNA) molecules are approximately 80 nucleotides in length. Their secondary structure includes four short double-helical elements and three loops (D, anti-codon, and T loops). Further hydrogen bonds mediate the characteristic L-shaped molecular structure. tRNAs have two regions of fundamental functional importance: the anti-codon, which is responsible for specific mRNA codon recognition, and the 3' end, to which the tRNAs corresponding amino acid is attached (by aminoacyl-tRNA synthetases). tRNAs cope with the degeneracy of the genetic code in two manners: having more than one tRNA (with a specific anti-codon) for a particular amino acid; and 'wobble' base-pairing, i.e. permitting non-standard base-pairing at the 3rd anti-codon position.
Source: Rfam by way of RNAcentral
CCUUCGAUAGCUCAGUUGGUAGAGCGGUGGACUGUAGUUGGUUCCGAGUAAUCUUUAAAAGAGAGACAUCCAUAGGUCGCUGGUUCGAAUCCGGCUCGAAGGA